Molecule: ribosomal RNA, 441 nt
Filed under: uncultured bacterium
Lineage: Bacteria
Description: partial 16S ribosomal RNA
Rfam family: Bacterial small subunit ribosomal RNA
Source: RNAcentral
CCUACGGGAGGCAGCAGUGGGGAAUAUUGCACAAUGGGGGAAACCCUGAUGCAGCAACGCCGCGUGAGGGAAGACGGUUUUCGGAGUGUAAACUCCUGUUCUUAGUGAAGAAUAAUGACGGUCGCUUAGCAGCAAGCCACGGCUAACUACGUGCCAGCAGCCGCGGUAAUACGUAGGUGGCAAGCGUUGUCCGGAAUUACUGGGUGUAAAGGGGGCGCAGGCGGGAAGCCAAGUCCGGUGUUAAAACUACGGGCUUAACGUAUAGACUGCAGUUGAAACUGGUUUUCUUGAGUGGAGGAGAGGUAGGCGGAAUUCCUGGUGUAGCGGUGAAAUGCGUAGAUAUUAGGAGGAGCACCGAUGGCGAAGGCAGCCUACUGGGCUUCAACUGACGCUGAGGCUCGAAAGUGUGGGGAGCAAACAGGAUUAGAUACCCCAGUAGUC